RNAcentral lists this transfer RNA (69 nucleotides) under Rattus norvegicus (Norway rat). It matches the Rfam family "tRNA". Rfam says of the family: Transfer RNA (tRNA) molecules are approximately 80 nucleotides in length. Their secondary structure includes four short double-helical elements and three loops (D, anti-codon, and T loops). Lineage: Eukaryota; Metazoa; Chordata; Mammalia; Rodentia; Muridae. The record is from Rfam by way of RNAcentral.
GGGGCUUUAGCUCAGAGGUAGAGCGCUUGCCUAGCAAGCACAAGGCCCUGGGUUCGGUCCCCAGCUCCG